AACGAACGCUGGCGGCAGGCCUAACACAUGCAAGUCGAGCGGACCUUUCGGGGUCAGCGGCGGACGGGUGAGUAACGCGUGGGAAUAUGCCCUUCUCUACGGAAUAGUCCUGGGAAACUGGGGGUAAUACCGUAUACGCCCUUUGGGGGAAAGAUUGAUCGGGGAAGGAUUAGCCCGCGUUGGUGUAGGUAGUUGGUGGGGUAAUGGCCUACCAAGCCGACGAUCCAUAGCUGGUUUGAGAGGAUGAUCAGCCACACUGGGACUGAGACACGGCCCAGACUCCUACGGGAAGCAGCAGUGGGGAAUCUUAGACAAUGGGGGCAACCCUGAUCGAGCCAUGCCGCGUGAGUGAUGAAGGCCUUAGGGUUGUAAAGCUCUUUCAGCUGGGAAGAUAAUGACGGUACCAGCAGAAGAAGCCCCGGCUAACUCCGUG
This 433-nucleotide ribosomal RNA is filed under the name uncultured bacterium. Its description in RNAcentral is "partial 16S ribosomal RNA". It matches the Rfam family "Bacterial small subunit ribosomal RNA", at positions 29 to 507 of the family's 1533-position model. The record is from RNAcentral.